UACGUAGGGGGCAAGCGUUAUCCGGAAUUAUUGGGCGUAAAGGGUGCGUAGGCUGCAAAACAAGUCUGUGGUUAAAAUGCGGGGCUCAACCCCGUAGUGCCGCGGAAACUGUUUAGCUAGAGUAUGGUAGAGGUAAGUGGAAUUCCAUGUGUAGCGGUAAAAUGCGUAAAUAUAUGGAGGAACACCAGUGGCGAAGGCGGCUUACUGGACCAAGACUGACGCUGAGGCACGAAAGCGUGGGGAGCAAACA
RNAcentral lists this ribosomal RNA (250 nucleotides) under uncultured bacterium. RNAcentral's name for it is "partial 16S ribosomal RNA". It matches the Rfam family "Bacterial small subunit ribosomal RNA", at positions 524 to 774 of the family's 1533-position model. The record is from RNAcentral.